This 1028-nucleotide long non-coding RNA is filed under the name Canis lupus familiaris (dog). RNAcentral's name for it is "lncRNA (ENSCAFG00845024483.1)". Lineage: Eukaryota; Metazoa; Chordata; Mammalia; Carnivora; Canidae. The record is from RNAcentral.
UUUUUUUUUUUACUAUGUAACUAAUUUCAUAAAUGCUUCAUGUGCACUAAAGAAUUAGGUAUAUUUCCUAUUAUUAGAGGGUAAAGUUUGAUAUAUGCAUUAAAGCUACCAUAUUUGUUAUACUGUUUAGAACUCUUUUACAUCGUUUGUUAAAAUUGACGUGUUAGAUUUAGAAUCACGUAUUAUAGAUUUAUACAAUUAGUGUGUUUCUAUUUCUCCUUGUACUUUUUUUUUUUUGUACUUUUUUUUUUAAGUGAGCUUGUUUGUAUUUAUCAGGUAUAUCUUUGCCUAUCCUGGUUUUUUUUAGUCUCUGUAUUUGUUUGUUUGUUUGUUUGUUUUAAGAUUUUACUUACUUAUUCAUGAGAGACACAGAGAGGCAGAGACACAGGCCAAGGGAGUAGCAGGCUCCCUGCAAGAAGCCGGACUCGGGACUCCAUCCUGGACCCCGGGAUCACGCCCUGAGCCAAAGGCAGACGCUCAACCACUGAGCCACCCAGGAGUCCAAUCCUCUCUGUGUUUCACUUAAUUUUAAGUAUGUCUCUUAAGUAAAGCAUAGGUUGACUUUUGUUUUGUCUCAAAAUGUGAGUAUCUUUUUCUUUUAAUAGGUGAAACAAAGGGAUGCCUGGGUGGCUCAGCAGUUGAGCCUCUGCCUUUGGUUCAGGUCAUGAUCCUGGAGUUUCAGGAUCGAGUCCCAUGUCAGGCUUUCCAGAGGGAACCAGCUUCUCCCUCUCCCUCUGCUUAUGUCUCUGCCUCUCUCUCUGUCUCUCAUGAAUAAAUAAAUAAAAUAUUUACCAAAAAAUAGGUGAAACAAGUCCAUUUAUUUAUUUAUUUAUUUAUUGGGUUUAAAAAAAUUACUUAAGUAAUCUUUACAUCCAACAUGGGGCUCGAAUUCACAACCCCAAGAUCAAGAAUCAAUGCUCUACCAAUUAAGCCAGCCAGGUGCCCCAAAACAAGCCCAUUUACAUUUAUUGAUAUGACCUAUGUAUUUGAUCUCCACUGAAAUAAUACAAAGUAUAUUUUGUAACCAU